RNAcentral lists this small nuclear RNA (21 nucleotides) under Arabidopsis thaliana (thale cress). Its description in RNAcentral is "snRNA_02870". The record is from RNAcentral. Lineage: Eukaryota; Viridiplantae; Streptophyta; Magnoliopsida; Brassicales; Brassicaceae.
UUUAAUCCACCGCCAGAAGCU